This 509-nucleotide ribosomal RNA is filed under the name uncultured bacterium. Its description in RNAcentral is "bacterial SSU rRNA". It matches the Rfam family "Bacterial small subunit ribosomal RNA", at positions 9 to 518 of the family's 1533-position model. The record is from RNAcentral.
AGGUUCGAUUCUGGCUCAGGAUGAACGCUGGCGGCGUGCUUAACACAUGCAAGUCGAACGGAGCAGUUAUACGAUCCCUUCGGGGUGACGAUUUACUGACUGAGUGGCGGACGGGUGAGUAACGCGUGGGUAACCUACCUUGUACAGGGGGACAACAGUUGGAAACGACUGCUAAUACCGCAUAAGCGCACAGCUUCGCAUGAAGCAGUGUGAAAAGUUAUUUCGGUACAAGAUGGACCCGCGUCUGAUUAGCUAGUUGGUGAGGUAACGGCCCACCAAGGCGACGAUCAGUAGCCGACCUGAGAGGGUGACCGGCCACAUUGGGACUGAGACACGGCCCAAACUCCUACGGGAGGCAGCAGUGGGGAAUAUUGCACAAUGGGCGAAAGCCUGAUGCAAGCGACGCCGCGUGAGCGAAGAAGUAUUUCGGUAUGUAAAGCUCUAUCAGCAGGGAAGAUAAUGACGGUACCUGACUAAGAAGCACCGGCUAAAUACGUGCCAGCCGCCGC